UACGGAGGGGACUAGCGUUGUUCGGAAUUACUGGGCGUAAAGCGCGCGUAGGCGGCUUUUCAAGUGACGGGUGAAAGCCCUCGGCUUAACCGAGGAACUGCCUGUCAGACUGGAAGGCUUGAGACCAGGAGAGGUGAGUGGAAUUCCCAGUGUAGCGGUGAAAUGCGUAGAUAUUGGGAGGAACACCAGUGGCGAAGGCGGCUCACUGGACUGGUACUGACGCUGAGGAGCGAAAGCGUGGGGAGCGAACAGG
RNAcentral lists this ribosomal RNA (253 nucleotides) under uncultured bacterium. RNAcentral describes it as "partial 16S ribosomal RNA". It matches the Rfam family "Bacterial small subunit ribosomal RNA", at positions 524 to 776 of the family's 1533-position model. The record is from RNAcentral.